Molecule: long non-coding RNA, 37187 nt
Filed under: Solanum tuberosum (potato)
Lineage: Eukaryota; Viridiplantae; Streptophyta; Magnoliopsida; Solanales; Solanaceae
Description: long non-coding RNA (STUB_LNC009383)
Source: RNAcentral
CCCAUUGUCCCCAAUUCAACCUCUCUGUAUUUGCAAACUUUUUAAAAAACUCCACCAUCACCACUUGGAGAACCAAUAUUAAUCCGAUGAUUGCCAUGAACAACUUGUUCUUUUGUAUUCCCUCAAAGACAUUCUUCUUCUCCAGGUUUCGCGCGUUGAAUUCAUUGAACACUUGGCAAAGAACAAACGUGUUAAAAAACAAAGUAUCGUUUACACUCUCAUUGACACCAAAGAUUGAUUCUCCUUUGUAUAGUAAGGUCGAUAAAACAGCAAUUUGGUAUGUAGCCUGAGCCAUUAUAUUCCUCCACAUAAUAUUCGUGAUAAGUGGUGUAGUCCUACCAACUGGUUUCUUCUUCAUGACUUCCUCGGUUGGCUUCUCAGUCGCAAGUGCUAAUGCCCCUAAUGUGUCCAUGAUCAAAUUUACCCAUAGCAACUGUACUGAUGUUAGUGGUUCCUCACCAUACAAAACAGAAGCUACAAAAUUGAUCAUGAGGGCAGCCACAUUAGCUGUGAGCUGAAAUUGGAUGAAUUUCUGGACGUUGUUAUAGACACAUCUUCCCCAUAUCAGAACUGUGGCAACUGAAGCAAAGUUAUCAUCCAAGAUGACAAUAUCAGAACUUUCUUUAGCUACUUCAGUGCCCUGAAUCCCCAUAGAAAGUCCUAUAUCUGCUUCCUUUAAAGCUGGUGCAUCGUUCGUUCCAUCUCCUGUGACAGUGACCACAUGACCUUUCUUUCUCAAGCACUGCACCAUUAGAAGCUUGUCAAAAGGGGAAGAUCUUGCCAUAACGCGUAUCUUCUCCACUCUCUCCAUCCUUUCUUCAUCUGUGAGGCUGCGAAAUUCUUCACCUUCUAUGACUGCUCCUUCAUCUACUUCCUGAUUAGGAUGGAGAAUCCCACAUUCUGUUGCUAUGGCUUUUGCAGUGAAAAACAUUGUCUCCAGUGAUCAUCUUGAUGUUCACACCAGCAUUUUGGCAAUCUUCCACAGCUUUCUUCAUGCCAGGUCGACAUGGAUCUUUUAGGCCAACAAAGCCCAAAAGAAUGAAAGAGUUGUCUGGAACAUUUCCAUGCAUAUGUUCAUGAUCCUCCUGCUCAGCUUUUUGGCACUUGCUUGUGUGCGAAUGCAAUACAUCGGAGGCUGCUGGCAGCCAUUCCUUCAAUUAUCCUGUCACAAUCUUCCUUAUCUGAUUGCUCGAGAGGUUUUACGUUCCCUUCUAGAUCAUAGUAAUGGGAGCACAUUCUUGAAAUCAUUUCAGCAGCACCUUUCCAAUGUGCAUGAAAUGUGCCAUCUGUGAUGUUCUUGAUCAGGACACCACUCUUCUUUUUCUCUGAAUUGAAAGCUUCCACAUGUAGAAUGUUGAAAUUUCUUUUGAUUUGAUCCAUAUCCAUGUUCAAUUCCAUAACAGCCCAUGAAAGAAUAGCUUUUUCAGUAGGGCUGCCGGAGAACUCGAAGCUGGAACAUGGAUCAGAGGACUUGAAAACACUGCCUGUAGUGUUUAAUCCAACACCUUGAUGUAAUAAUUCAAGAACUUUUGCUGAAAUUGAUGUAUGACUUUCCGCCUUCAUGUGGUCUUUGCCUAAGAAAAACUUUGUCACGGUCAUCUUAUUUAAUGUUAGAGUACCUGUUUUAUCAGUACAGAUGGUGGUGGCAGAGCCCAUAAUCUCACAAGCGGAGAGCUUCCUCACCAUUGCCUGAUCAGCCAUCAUUCUCUUCAUGGAAUAAGCCAGAGUAAGUGUAAUAGCUAAAGGCAAGCCUUCAGGAAUCGCAGCAACAACAAUGGUAACAGCAGAAGAAAAAAUUCCCACCACAGCAUUGAUCACAUCAUUGGAUGAUGUCUUGCUCCCGUUGAAUUCUCUGAACCCAUUCUCAUCUACUGUGCUCCCAGUAAAGUAUUGUACCAAUUGGACAAUGAGAACCAAGAAGGCAGCUAACAAACCAACUUUAUCAAUCGAUGAAGUGAGCUUGUCGAGCCGUUCUUGGAGAGGGGUGUGCUCGUUAGAGUCACUGCAUAUUUUGUUCAUCAUUUCACCCCUGGUCGUGUUAAUGUCAACUGAUGUCACAAGCAUCAUUCCACAGCCAUCGACAACCUUUGUGCCAGAAAUCAAGAAUGGAUUUUGGCUGAUAUUAAUCUCUACAUGUUCAGUUUCUCCUGUCAUGCUAGAUUCAUCCACUUGUAAAGAAUGACCUUGUACCAAAAUCCCAUCAGCAGGGACUUGAUCUCCAAUCUUCAAGCAAAUGACAUCUCCAACCACAAUUUCAAAUAUUGAUAUCUGUUGACGCCUCCCCUUUCUAACAGCUUCUACUGGAAUAUUUUUGCUCACUUUGGAAAGCUUAUCAAACUGUCUGUUUAGUCUAAACUUACUAAUAGACGAAACAGCGAUGACAAGAAACCCUGCGACAUAAAUACUCCCUCCAUCAUACCAUCCUUCUUUCGGUCCAUGCUCCUUAAUUCCAAAUCCAAGAGACAGAGCACCCCAGAGCAAAAGUUUAAUGUUGGUGGGAUCUUUUAAUGAUUCCCAAACAAAGAUGAAGAAACUCUUAGCAGGUGGCUUACGAUACGUGUUUCUUCCAAACACCUCAUGUCUACGUGCAACAUCUUCUGGAUCUCCGCUUACACCAUUAGUUGUAUCACUUUUGAGAGAAGCAGCAACACCUUGUACACCUCCAAGGUUAGCAAGUUCGUCAAUGUUUUUAUCUUUGACAAGCUUAGAUAGACUUGACUGAUCGAUGCCUGAGAAAAAAGGGUGGUCUUGAACUACAUCAAUUGCGAUUGUAUCAGUUGAUACACCAAGUACUUUUGUUGGAUUGUAGGCAGGUCCAUGUAGUGCUUUAGUGCUGGUCUUAAUUUUAAAAGCUCUGGAACAAAAGAUAGUAGCAAAAGUUAAAUGCCAUCUUUUUUGGCUGGAGAAAUCAACUUCAGAUGACAAAUCAAGUGUUAUGUUCAUGCAGAGGUAAUGUAAGUUUGCUUGAAACAUCAUGUUCAAGUCUUUCUUUGACUAUGGAUGAACAAAUUUGUUUCAUGGAAGUUCCUUUUAUAGUGGUAACAAAAUUUGCCUAGACUGCUAGGAGUACAGCGACAGUUACUGACUUAUGUAUGUUUCCAUUUAAUUCCCCAAGCAUUUCCAGCUCCCUCCUUCCACACAGACUGCUAGGAGUACAGAUAUGAUAUGCUUGGAAGUUGCUCUCAACACGCCCCUUCACGUGGAGCUUUGCCUGUUCUGAUAUCAUGUUAAAGUGUGUGACUAUUUUCUCAUCUAAAACUGUUAGAGAGGGCACACUUUUAUUAGUUAAUUAUAUUUAUAUUCUCAAUAGCAAUAACAGACUAUAAUAUCAUGCUUAUCUUUUUGUUCUUGAUUUGAGCGUGGUCUUUGUUUAAAGCUUAUAAGAAUAUUCAAUUCGUCCCAAAAUAAGUGAAGCUUUAGUUCAUUUCAUGUCCAUUAAGAAAAAUAAUACUCCAAUAUAAGAUAUAGUAUACUAAGUUAUUCAUAUUUUAUUAGAGAUAAGUGUCAAAAACACACAUUUCUUUCAUACCUAAACUAUCACUUAUUAAUUUGAGAAACACACCUCUCGUUUUUAUACCACUAUCGAUCAUCAUGGUGUGUGUAAUACACUCUCUCCCUUAUUUUAAAAAAUCUCAUAUCACACUCCACAUGAACAAAACAUUCAACCUUAAUAUUAUGUGUGUUUUUGACACUUAUCUCUAUUUAUUAAAUGUUUGUUUAGAAUUGAACAAUACUAAGAAGAAAUGGUAAGAGUAUAGUUCAAAUAAUUACUCUCAUUAUUGUCAUAGUUCCAUUGUCUAGAAAAUAUGCAUGGAGUUAGAGGUUUCCAUAUUUGAUACUUCAUUUGUCUCAAUUUAUGUGACACAAUAAAAAUUUCAAGAUUCAAAAAUUUUAAUUUUGACUAUGAAUUCAAAUAUAGAAGUUUUAAGUAUUUUGAAAUGAAAUUUAUAUAUUUGAAAACUAUGUAAAAUGUACUGUAUAUCACAAUAAUUAACAACUCAAAAAUAUCUAAUAGACAUAUGUUAAUAAAAGAAAAUUUUAAUUGACUUUCGAAAUUUCAACAGUACAACAUAAAUUGAAACAAAAGGAAUAAUAACCCAAUAGGCAACAAUAUAAGGAUUUAAAAAAAAAAAAACAUAAUUCUGUGAAUUUUAACUGUAGAAUAAUAAAGCCGAAAUUUUAAUAAUAUAUAUAUAUAUAUAUAUAUAGUUUUAUAAACUAAGGUAAACCGUGUUCAUUAGUGUUUUUUUUUGUUUUUUUGUUUUUAAUUUAUACCACUAGACCAUGUCUAGGGACCUUUUAUUAUUAAUAUAAUUUAAAAAAAAAACUCAACAGACACAUAACUUUGAGCAGUAGUCUUUGUUUAAGCUAAUUAGGGGUCAUUUUUCUUCAAAAUUAGGUUAAUUAUCUUGAAAAUAUAUAACAACUACGCACUUCAACGUCAAAAAAGAAAUAAGGUUUGAAAAAGAUGAGGUGUACGAAAUAUUUUAUCCUUAUCUUAUAUAAGAUACUGUUUUCGAUGACCACGACUACAACACUUAUCCAAAAAGCAAAACGGGAAAGUAUUAAAUCUCCUUAACGAAGUUUACAGUAAUUUAAUAUAAUACGUGUUGAAUGGCGUCAACAAACUCUACAUUAGUUGACUGUAACACUUGUGCAACAAGUUUUGAAGCCACAGUUAAUUACAACAUGCCUAUAUAUAUAUAUAAAAAAAAAAAUUCUAGGAAAAGAAUAUAUGGAUUGAUCUCAAUCCAAAGACAGGUGUAAAUAAUUUUUUUUUAUAUAUAAUUAGUAUAAUUUAACAUGAUCCACGAAAUUGCUUUCUCCUUAUGAAUUGGUUACUUAAUUACCUUUAAAUUGAAAUUGUUUAAUAGUGACAAUACACAAGUUAAAUCGAAAACUUUCAAGCUUUCACUUGCCCCAGUUAAUACUUUUGACUCUUCGGUAUAUAUAUGGUAAAAUUAGUCCAUAAAAAUAAAAUGUGUAAUCCAUUCAAGUUUGAGAUUUAUUUGCUUAAGCCGUCAAAAAUUAGACUGCUAUGUAACAUAAAAUUGAUCAAUGAGAAAUCUUAUUACAAUAUUUUUAAAUUUGAUUAUGGUACACAUAAUCAUAAUAAAGGAAAAUAAUAAUAUUUUUAUACUCUGUUUGGAUUAUUGUUACCCGUUAUUUCAUAAUGUAUUGUAUUGUAUGGUAUAUACCAUAUUUGGCUAGAUUGUGUUGUUUGUUGUUGUUUAAUAACAUUUGUAUUGUUUGAUUUGACUAUAUCGUACUGUAUUGUAAUUUAUAAAUUUACUAAAAUGUCCUUAAUUAUUCUAAAUACUAAAUUUAUCAAUAAUUACUAAUAAAAUAACAAUACUAUUAUGCAUAUUUUUUAUGUCAUAUGAAAAUAACAUAAAAUAAUAUUAUCAAUUAUAAUUAUAUUAUCAAACAAUAUUAGCACGUUUGUAUCUAGAUUGGUUUAAUUAAGAGAUGAUAAAAUCAAAAUUUUAUAUAUUCAUUCUAGAAAUUAUCAUGUACCGCAUUAAUCAAGAAAAUUUGAAAAAUGAUGAAAAGGUAAGAAAAUAGUGCUUUGUAUGAACUAACUAAUUAAUAUAUUUAUUCGUUAACAAUUGUGGACUCUAAAUGGUCAACUAUAAAUUUUAAUUUAUACUUUUGUAUUUGUAUAAUAUAGAAAUCUGCAAAAUAAAAAAACAUAUAAAUCAAUAGAAAGAGACAAAAGUAUGAAAAAAGGGAAGAACGUAUGCUUAAAAAAAAAAAAGGAAGGACAAACAACUAAACCUAGAAAGAAAGUAAUGCACUAAUUAUUGGGUAGGAGGUUUGCCUAAGAUUAAAUAAUAUAGGGUAAUGGUAGAUUAGUAUUAUGAAAUACUUAAUAAAUAAGGAUAUAAUUGGAAAAUGAAACUAAGUAACAAUAGGAACACACCAAAUCGAUUGUUCCAUAAAAUGGAGGUUUUCAUUGUUACGUAACAAUGAAAUUUAACAAUUCAAUACAUUUUAAGUAACAUUCAAAACAAACAUUGUAUGUAUGAUAACAAUACAAUACAAUACAACAGGUUAUAAUGAUCCAAACAGAGUGUUAUUAGGUAUGUAUGUAUGAUAACAAUACAAUACAAUAUAACGGAUUAUAAUGAUCCAAACAGAGUGUAGUUAGGUACUAAGAAAAUAUAAAAAAAUAAUAAAGCAAUUAAAACUUUGCAAGAAUUGCGCCAGUUGAGUUACUCACAUUUUAGCCCAUUGCAAAUGCCAGUCUAAUACUUCAAAAAUCUUUGAACAUAUUGUCUAUUUGUUGACAAUCAUGAACAAAGUACAUUAUGAUAAAUAAUGGAAUGUAACAUAAAGCAAUUAAUCAAACAGAUACUAAAUAGCUUAUGAAAAAAAACAUAGAUUACACCUAAAUCUACUCAUUUAAACAAGCUUACUUGAAGAAUCCCACAUUCUGUUGGUAUAUAAUUUGAGUCUAUGGAAAAAUUUCUUGAAUUUUGAUUGGUUGGGGAGACCGUGUCAAUAAGAACUCAAAAUAUUGUGUAUUGAUUUUGUAUUUCUUUUUUUAUCUAUAUUGUUAUGAUUAAAGCCUUAAGAAUGGUGUAUUUAUUGUACUUUUCUCCAUUUUUAAUGUGUUUUCUCUCUAUUGCACCUCUUUUAAUUUAUUUUACUAUGAAUUUUUAAUUACCAUAAGUUUGUAUUUUAAACAUUAAAAUACAGUUCCCAGCCAUUUGAUAUUUACUGUCACACUGUUACGUUUUAUUACUAUUACACCCAUGUUUUAAAAAAGAAUAUUAAUCGAUUUUUUUUUUUUUGCAUGAGACACACGUGCUCAAAAACUUUAAGCCUUUUAAAAAUAUAUUCUUUUAUUGAAAUAGUAAUUUUUUCUAUUGACUCAAGUCGAAAUUUAAAUUAUUUUUUUUUUAUAGAGAUUAUUAAUUAAUCAAAUAUUAAUCUAGUAAAAUUUUAGGGUAUAUCAAAACUACGUAAUGGCAUUAACCUGCAUUUCAUAAUUAAUACUACCCACACGAUCAUAUUGUCGUCUGUCGACAUGACCAAUUUGUAAUAAUUAAGAAAUCAUUACAUGCUAAUCUGCUAUAAUAUCUGCUAAGAUUUUUUUGACCGUAUAAAAGAUAUUUUACACUGCUAACGUAUAUAUUAGUUAAACUCUAAUUAUAUAGUUGUGUAAAGUUCCCCAAUUAAACUCAAAUUACAUACCAUGGUUACGGGUCGGUUUAGGUAGGUUAUUGAUUAAAAUCAAAAUUAAACCAAUUUAAUUGGUUUUAAAAUUAUCAAAAUCAAAUCAAACUAAAUAUAAUCACAUUUGGUUAUUAUCUGUCACGCCCCAAGCCUACAACCUGGACGUGGCCGGCACUCGAAGACCAUUGCUGGCCCCCAAGCGAACCCUUGGCUUGGCUUUCUUAACUCAGCGGAAACUUAACUCAACAGAAUAACUCAAUGCAAUGAAAGGUUAUAAAACAACCUAACUGAUGCAUAACAUGCCAAAAGGCAACUCGUCUCAAAAUAGAAUAUUUACAUAUAUACAUAGAUGAGAGACUCAAUACUAACUGACUAACUGUCUAUGAAGCCUCUAAAAAUUCUGAGAUGGAUAUUGGGACAGACCCCGCAACAUCCUAAUAAAACCAAAACUAAGAACACAAAAUAACAGGGUCCUCCGGAAGGCAAGGAGGCUCACCACAGACUCUGGAGUGCUCAGCUGGAUCAACGGCGUNNNNNNNNNNNNNNNNNNNNNNNNNNNNNNNNNNNNNNNNNNNNNNNNNNNNNNNNNNNNUCAUGAAUAACUUAACUCAAUAUAAAGCAAUAAGACACAUGCAAUAUAUAUAAAGCUUGUAAAACAGUGUAAACAACUUAGCUCGUUAAUGAUAAAACAAUAACAAAUUCCACUUUACUUAUAUAAAAGUAGUAUAACUUUUGUGGGAGAUUCUUUAGCCGACAACCACCACUAUGAGCCUUAGUGAUGAUACAACGUUUUACCUCACGUUGCCCAAGGACCAUUCUAUACCUUGCCGUGAUAUAGGACCUUACUUUACUUAGUGGAUCCACUAGCUUAAUCUUACGUGAUCAUCUAAAAAGAAUGACCCGUUAAGUCCCAUGUUUGGCUACAUGGUUCUUAUAGAGAGUUGAGUUAAAUGAACUCGCUUCCCCAAUUCGGUGCUCAAUACUACUCCCAAAAAUACUUUGGCUCAUAAGUGUUUUAAACACAUCUUUCUUUAGUUUGAGAUAAUUGCUCAAAGCUUAGCUUAAAAUCUCUUUUGGAAUCGAUGUUCCCUUUCUUGCUCAAAUGUGAAAACAUUUUAAAAACUUCUUUGGAAAUACUUAGUUCCCUAAUGACUUUUGAGAAAUGAACUUGACUCUAUACUCUUUACUUGACUUGAAACUCUAUACUCUUUAUUUGACUUGACUUUGAUCCUAACUUUCUUGAAUUGAAAUAUGGAUUCAAGGAUUCAUGAUUUGUGUUGGGAAAGACCUCAUGAUGUUUAGGAAUGAUUUAGGACAGCUAAACUUAAGAAAAAUUACGAAAUUUAAUUUUUGAAACAAUGAAGUCCGUGUCCUGUCCGCGACGCAGAGCAAAUUUUUGUUCACAGAGGGAACAAGUCUGUGACGCAGACUUGUUUCAUGCAAGCUGCCCGACUUUUCUCAUUCAUGUUACCAACUCUAUACCCUCUUAACUUCAAAGGUUCUUUUCCCAAACACUUGGGAUCAUUAAAAACCCUUAAUACACAAAGGAUUCAACUCAAAACCACAACCUAAAACAUGUCUCAAAUCCACAAGAACUUCAACAACACAACCACAACCUCACCAACCACAACCACAAGACUUCAAUAAACACAACCAAAUCUUUUCUCGGGAAUUUAAAAUGAAUUUGGCGUGUGGGGGAAUGAACCAACCCAACACUAUGAUCUCACAUACCUAGUAGGGAUCACCCCCGACGAUAUCCACGACGAUCUUUGAUGAAACCUUGCUUGAUCUUCUCUUUCUCCCCUUCUUCUCCUCUUUACUCACAAACCCUCACUCUCACACUUUCAAAAAGGGAAAAACUGAUCUAAAAUCAGUCUAACACCUUAAUAUAUCCAAAAGAAUUGGUUAGGGAAAAGACCAAAAUACCCUUAAAAUUUUCGGACGGACCUCCCUGCCAACUGCCCAACUUCCAAAGGGCAUAACUCACUCAUACAAAUUCGGAAUCGAAAAAACUCGGUGUCUUUGGAAAGAUCAUUCCACGAGCUUCGCAACCAUAACUGGAAAUACACCUAACUCAUCCUGAGCUAGAAGUUAUGACUGUUCAAAGUUGGCCAAAAACUCACCUUUUUCCCAUACUUAGCCAAAUUUUCCAGAUUUUUAAAAGUCUUUCCAAAAAUGACUAUUUCUAAUUUUUAAGCUUCUUCCUAGUUAUCAACUUGCAAGAUGUCACAUUAUCGGUAUCGUUUCGAUUUGAUUUGGUUAUUUGAUUAUUAACCAUACACAAAAAUAAAAGAAACAAUUCAUUCAAAACAUGUAAAAAGUGACAAACAAUUCAUUCAUAAAAGAAACAAUUCAUUUAAAAUGUGAAAAAAGUGACAACAAUCCAUUCAAAACGAAAAAUAGUUAGAAUGACUUAAAUUACUAAACUUUCAAUCACUAAAUUUACUAUCAAUAAAGCUUUAAAAUUCACUAUAUUGGCCUAGAAGGAAGAGACAAUAACAUUUUCAGUCCCACAAAGAAUUGUCAUAGACACUCAUAUACAUGAAAUCAAUAAGAUAAAUGUUUCAUCUCGGGCAUUUUUGCUUUCAAUAAGUAAAUUAUAAAGAAAUUUUAAUGAAAAUAUGUAUAAGAUCUUUAAAAUUGUUUAUAAAAAUAAUAUAUUAAGUAUGUAUAUUAAUAAAAUAUAUGUAUAUAAUUCAUCGGUUCGGUUCGGUUAUUUCUUCGGUUUUUUUCGAAUAAAACCAUAAUCAAACCAAAUACUAUCGGUUUUCAAAAAUCUAAAACCAAACCAAACCAAACCCAAAUAAAAUCGGUUUUAUUUUAUCGAUUUGGUUUGGUUUUUCGGUUUGGAUCGGUUUUUAUCCAAACCGUGAACACCCCUAGUUGUGUAAAGUUCCCCAAUUAAAAUACCAUGGUUAUGGGUCAGUUUAGGUAGGUUAUUGAUUAAAAUCAAAAUUAAACCAAUUUAAUUGGUUUUAAAAUUAUCAAAAUCAAAUCAAACUAAAUAUAAUCAUGUUUGGUUAUUAUCGGUAUCGUUUCGAUUUGAUUUGGUUAUUUGGUUAUUAACCAUACACAAAAAUAUAAUAAAAGAAACAAUUCAUUCAAAACGAAAAAUAGUUAGAAUAACUAACUUACAAAACUUUCGAUCACUGAAUUUAUUAUGAAUAAAACUUUAAAACUCACUAUUUUGGCCUAGAGGAAAGGAACCCAUAAAUUAAGAAUUGAGACACCAUAUACAUGAAACCAAUAAGAUAAAUGUUCUCACCUUGGGCACUUAUGCUUUCAUAGGUAAAUUAUAAAUUAAUUUUGAUGAAAACAUAUAUAAGAUUUUUAAAAUUGUUUAUUAAAAUAAUAUAUUAUGUAUUUAUAUUAAUAAAAUGUAUGUAUAUAAUUUAUCAGUUCGGUUAUUUCUUUCGAACAAAACGAUAGCCAAAUCAGAUACUAUCAAUUUUUAAAAAUCUAAAAUCAAACCAAACCAAACUUAAAUAAAAUCAAUUUGGUUUGAUUUUUCGGUUUGGAUAGAUUUUUAUCUAAACCGUGAACACCCCUAUCUUGGAUGUUGUACAUAUUGUAGUUGACCGAAGUGUUUAGGGCCGCAGUUAUCCAAAAGUUAAAUUGUUGAACUUAAUUAUAUGUAAAGUUCUCAUUAAACUCAAAAUUUUAGAUACAUUCCAAAUGUAUCAUAGCUAUGCAAGUGGACACUUCUGUGAAUAUAUAUAUAACUUCUAGGGAAUUAUUACUACUUCACUCUAAAACACAUUCAAUUCAAUUGUUUGAUAUUUUUGUCCUUCUAUUGUUAUUAUACAUAUUUUCCAUCAAACAUGUUUCAAGAAAACUUGCAUUACCCCUGCAUGAACAAUAUUACAACUGAUUUUCCAGCAGAAAUUGAAUCCUCCAACAAAAAGAGAUGGCACUUAGCUUUGGCAACCAUCUAUUGUUCCAGAGCUUUUAAAACUGCUUAUAGUCAUGGAUACUUUCUGUAUCGACUGAUACAAUCGCGAUUGAUGUCCUUUUUUCUCAGACAUUAAUUACUCAAGUCUAGCUAAGCUUGUCAAAGAUAAAAACGUUGACGAACUUGCAAACCUUGGUGGUGUACAAGGUGUUGCUACUUCUCUCAAAACUGAUACAACUAAUGGAACGAACGAUGCACCAGCUUUAAAGGAAGCAGAUAUAGGACUUUCUACGCGGAUUCAGGGCACUUAAGUGGCUAAAGAGAGUUCUGAUAUUGUUGUCAUCUUAGAUGCUAAUUUUGCUUCAGUUGCCACAGUUCUGAAAUGGGGAAGAUGUUUCUAUAUCAACAUCCAGAAAUUCAUCCAAUUUCAGCUCACAGCAAAUGUGGCUACGCUCAUGAUCAAUUUUAUAGCAGCUGUAUCAUCUGGUGAGGUACCACUCACAGCAGUACAAAAACAUCUAAAAAUAACAAAAAUCAUUCUUCCGUGUAUUUUUGUUAAGAAACUAAUUGAACCAUUUUUUAUUUUUUUUAAUUUGGUCAUGUCUUAGCCACGAUGAGAAGAUCAAAGUUACCUAAAAAGAAUAAGAAUAUGGAUAGGAAAUGAAUCUUUCAUUCUUAGAAUUUAAAUUUUGUGUUGUUAGUUUAUAUGAUUUUUGCAUCAUUAAGUAAAUUGACUUGCAAUAAUACGUAAGUCUUGAAAUAUUUAUACAGUAGGUUAUGAUGGUUACAAAGAUUAUGUAAAAAAAAUAAUUUUAAAAAUAUUACGUCCAACUAUUUAGAGAUUUUCUUUAAUAAAAUAUUUAGUACGUAUGUAUGUUAUCAAUGCAAUUUUAUACAAUGUAGAGAAAUGCUGAAAAUUUAGUGAAAGCAUGUAGGCAUUUAGUUAUGAAAAUAAAAAAAAAAUUAAGUUAUUUGAAAUUUUUGAAGUUGAAGUUGUAUUCGGCCAUACUUUUUACAAAGAAUAUUUUGAAAUUUGAAUAUAUUUUGUCUGAAUAUGAUUUAAACUCUCAAUUUCUAAAAAUUAGAAAAAUCACCUAACUUGACUAGCUUAACCAUGUGUACAUAUAUUCAUUUAACUUGACACUUUUUUUUUUGUUGGUGGUGUGAGUUUCUUAAAAAAAUAGAUAGAAGGAUGAAUCUUGCAACUUUUUGGAUAGUGCAAGGAUGGUUUUUGUUCACUUAUAUAAUAUAAGGAUAUACUUUAGACUUAAGUCAUACUUUAGGAUGAUUUUAACAUUUGUAGCAGAAUUUCCACAUAUAUAGGGGUAAGACUCGGAUUAGAGAUUAUAUAGAAGCACCCCCAACCCCCUUCUUUUUCUUCCUUCGAGUAGGUCCGCUCACUGGAAAGUUAGGUCCAUAGAAAGGUUCCAUCCUCCAAGGAAUAUCGUAAAACAGCCGAAAGGCGAUGACAUUCCUUGUGGCAAGAGUCGACCUCUAGGGUAUCGAGGAAGGUUGGAGAAUAUAGGUUACAGAGCUCAUCAGUCCAAGUCUCAGAAGAGAGACUCCUACGCCAUCCAUUCUUUCAGUAUGAACCAGUUAAAGAGCAUAACCAAAAACUCUCGUUAAAUGGUUGAUUGAUGUUGCAUUCAUUUAUUACUCGCUAGUCACUACUUGUAUUUCUCUAUGUUACGUUUUAAAACAAAAUUUAUGUUUCAAUAAAUAAUUAAAAUGAGAAUCUUAUUAUUUAAAAAAAAAACUUAAUUUAAAACAAAAAUUAUAUUUCAACAUUUAAUAAAAUAAUCACUUAAAUUGGUUGGAUGACUUUCUAAAUGAAAUAUCAAUAGAGUGAUUUUGUAUAUAAAAUAUUCAUAGUUGGGUGCCUUUAAUGAUAUAAAAAAGGAGGGAAAGUUGAGUGACUUUCUAUGAAAAGAACUAUCACAUUCGUUCAUAUUUACAUGUCAUCCUUAUAAAAAAUAAAUGUUCCUUAAGACUUGUCAUUACACAAAAUCAAUGUAUAGAUGACACAAUUUUUCCUAUUUUACUCUUAAGAGUUAUUAGUUUUAAAAUGUAUGAAUUUGACCAACAUAGGAAAACUAAGUAACUUAUUCAUGUUAAUUGGUUAAUUAAAUAAAAUAAAUUAAUUCAUGUUUAUUUAUUGAAAAAACUUGACUUUAAAAUAACACUAAAUAAAAAUAUAAUAAUAAAUUGAUCUAAUUUCUAAGGAGCGUAAAAUCUAAAAUGAUAACGCUAUAUUCAUAUUCGUCAUACGUUAUAACUUAUAAGCCAAGCUGGAAUCCAAUAUACACUCUUAUAAAAUAAUCUUAAAGAAUGACCAGUCUCAAGUCAACAACAAAAAGACCAGCAUCUUUUAUAACAUUCUAAAGUGGAAGUACAAGGAAAACGAAAAAAGGCUAUGUGUUUAGAGGCGGAGUUAAGCGAGGAUUUGUGAGUUCGAAUGAAUUCAAUAGCUUUUUUUUGUAAAUUUUGUAUUUGUAAUAAAAAAUUAAAUAAAUAUAUAUAUUUUAUUAAUUUGUGAACCCCUAUUAAAAUUGAUUGACUGUUCAGUGGUAAGGAAGUGAUCGUGAAAAUACUUUUCACGCUAGAAUUGUGGGUUUGAACUCUUCCUCUUUUUUUUUUUUUUUUAAAAAAGAAAAUUUAGAAACCCCAAACUCUUAUCUUGACUCCGCCGCUGUGUUUAUGUAAUUUGUUAAAUGCUUGUUUGGAUUCUUAAUUAGAGAUACGUUUUAGGUUUAAUAUAGUUAUUGGUAUCCAUUAGUUCUUUAUUUAUGUUAUUUUCUAUCUUUACUUAUUUAUUCUUAAAUUUUAAGAUUAUUAUACCUCUCUUUUGAUAUAUCUCCUAUGUUCAAUAAUAGUUGUCUAUUAAACUAAAAGUAAUUGUUCAAUAAUACUUGUCCAAUUUAAAAAAUCAAGAGAUAAUUUACCCUUUGUGUCUAUUUUAUCCUUCCUAUUAAAUAUUAUUUAUCAUCUAACACAUUUUUCAAAGCAUUAAAUUUAAUAAAGUCAAAAGAUAAUAUAGUAAUAUUACCUCUAUUAUUUAUACUCUCUCUGUCCGUAAUUACUUUUGAAUUGACACACCUAUUAAGAAAACAAUGAUUGACAUAGUAAAUUUACAAUUUUACUCUUAUUAAUUAUGAAGUGGAUGAAUUAAAAACUUAAGAUUUUCAAGAAAUUAUAUAUUUUCAAAGUAACUAACUGAGGGUAUAAUAGGUAAAAAAAAUACUUUAAUCAUUUAUUGAUUUUUCAAAAUGAAUAAGUAAUUAGAAAUAACUAAAAAAAUAAAAAGUGAAUAAGUAAUUAGUAACGAGAGGGUAAGUAAAUUCAUAUAUCCUUUUCUUAGAAAUUUCUUUAAAGUUUGCGAAACGAUGGUACUAUGCUCACUUUUUAUCCCUUUUUCCUUUUGCUUUUGGACAAGUGUUUUCAUCUUGCCUCUUCAUUUCAUGCAUGAUAAUUAUCCAAUCUUUUUUUUUUUUUGAUAAGUGUAUUACAACUAUUAUCCAAGCUGGAAUCUAGCACUUUGGCAGGGUUAGAAAAAUGCUGUUGUGUUAAUUUUGCAUAUUUUUAGUAUAUUGUUUGGUAUAUAUUUUUUAGUCUAUAUAUGUAUAAUUAAUAUUUGUAUUAGUUAUAUACUUUAUUGUGUAUUAAGGUGUGUAUUACUAAUAGAGAAAAUGGCUGAAUAUUUUCUUUAACUUUGCUAUUUAGAGUUGAUACACCACUCAUUAUGAAAGUGACUCAAAUUUUAAUAUACAUAUACCAUUUUCCUCUAAUGGAAGUGAAAAAAAUAAUUUUAAUAUAAUCCAUAUGGGGUAUAUUUGAUCCUCCUCACAAGUACUUUUUUGCCUUUUUUGUUUCAACGAUUAAUUUAAAUUUAUUAUUUUGAUGGUCAAAUUUAUUUAUGUUUCACUAAUUUUAUUGUAAAUUUUAUUAUAGAUACCCCAAUUUUAUUUUUUUUACAAAUACAAAAACUAAAUUUCAAUAUAACCGCAAAAAGUUAGCUUUAAAUUUUUCUUACACUAAAAAUGAAAGGAAAAAAAAGAAUAAGAAACUCAAAUAACAAUAUAAUCAAAGAAGUCAAAAAUAAUUUAUGUAUGAAAAAGAUCAAAACAUACUUCAAACUUUGCUAGAAGGAUCAUAUGUACCUCUAUAUGGAUUUAAAAAAAAAUUAAAAGUAAGAAAAAUAAAUUUAGAACUAAUUUUUUCACUUUCGUUAGAUGAAGGGUAUAUGUGAGCUCCUUCUGUAACGAUAGGGGUAUAUCAUAUAUGUGAGUUAUUUGUAUAACUGUAAGGGUAUAUAUAAGUCACUUUCUUAAUAAAGGGUACAUCAACUUUUUUGACAAAGUUAAAGGGUAUAUCAGACUUACUAAUCAUAUCAUGAUUUCCAUGUAUUAAUAUAUUUUACAUAGGAUUGGUUAAUGAUGUAACGAUCCCUCAAAUCUCCCUUAAUAUAUUUUCCAAAGCCAAAGAGUGUGAGGGGUGGUUUUGUGAACAAAUAUUUUUGGGAAAAUUACUUAUAUAAACACAUUUACUUACCUUACUAUCAAUUUAUCCCUACCUUUUUUAAAAAUUUCAAAAAUCCCUUAAUUCCCCCAAUUCAUAAAAUCUUCCGGAUACAUAAAUAUUUCACUCCUAUUUUCAGCCUACACCCACGUUUCUCACUCCCCAUUUCACUCCUCCAUUUUAUCCCUAAAUUCUCUCCACUUCUUUAGCAGUUACAAAUUUUAAAUUCAUUUUGAUUUUCAGAAGGUGUCUCUCAAGUUUAUCAAUUAAUCUAUUUUGAAUUUCAAAUCUUUUCUAUUUCCAAUUAAUGAUUUCAAAUUAUUCAAGAGGUAGAUUUCUUUCCAUCACUUCUAUUUUCGAUUUCUUUUAUUAUUAUUUUUUAAUUUUUUCAUCUUAAAAAAUAAAAAUAAAAUUACCUUCGCCCCCUGCCUUCUUUGAAAUCUUAUUGAACCUUUGCAAUUUUAGUUAAUCAUAUUGUCGUUGAAAAUUUUUCUUGAAAAAUAUUUAUUUUCUUUUAAUGUUUCUACUAUUGAAAAAUGUCCAAAAAAAGAAGAAGAAAAAAGUUGGAUUUGCCAUUGCACGGCCAUCACUAUCAAAGAUACAAAUUUUUAAUGUAUCUCGUUUAUUUUGAAUCUUAAAUUAGUCUUUGUUAGUGUUAUCAUUGAUCUUAUACAUUACUGCUACAAUAACAUUUGUUUUAUGCAAUGUAUAAUGUUCAUAUUUAAAGUAUUGAUAUAUAACUCUAAUGUUGUUGAAUCUUCGAUUAGUGUUUAUCAUGUUCAAUAUAAAUGUACUUGAUACGUAAACUUUGUGUUAUUUAUCACACACAAAAAAGAAGCUAUUUUGGAACAAUUACAUGUAUAAUGUAUUUUUUUAAAAAAUUUAAAAAUAUAGUAUUUCUCAAACAAAAUAAGAUACAUAAAUAAUAAUGUAUCAUACACUAAUUUUUUGUUAUGAUACGUAAAUUCAAAUUUAUAUUAAAUGUAUCUGAUACAUAACAAUUACCAAACAAUAAUGUAUCGAGCUCAAACUUAAAAUCUUAUAGGCAACACUUUCUUAUUUAAUGUAUCUAGUAGAAAUACAACACUUAUCAAUUUAAAUUGAAAGGAUCUUCAUGAUCUCAAGCAAAAUAAGAUACAUAAAUAAUAAUGUAUCAUACACUAAUUUUUUGUUAUGAUACGUAAAUUCAAAUUUAUAUUAAAUGUAUCUGAUACAUAACAAUUACCAAAUAAUAAUGUAUUGAUCUCAAACCUAAAAUCUUAUGGACAACACUUUUUUAUUUAAUGUAUCUAGUAGAAAUACAACAUUUAUCAAUUUAAAUUGAAAGGAUCUUCAUGAUGUAUCUUCUCAAAAUUUUUGAUAAUUUUGAAUCAAAAUUGAAAGAAUCUUCAAUGAAUUAUGAGAAUAAUUUUGAAACUCAAAAUUUUCAACAAUUUUGAAUCAAAAUGGAAAGGAUCUUCUAUGAACUGGAGAAGAAUUUUGAAUCUCAAAAUUUUCGUCAAUCUUGGAUCAAAAUCGAAAGGAUAUUCGAUGAACUUGAAGAUUCACGAAAGAAAUCGUUUGUCCAACAACAAUUCCAUCACUUUUGUAUCCUUCAUAACUCACCUCGCUUAUCCACAAUUUUGACAAAAGUUUUUAUGAAACAGAGAGAACGAUGAACAAGAAGAAGAAAUUUAAUUUUUGAAUUUUUUGGUUUGUUACACUAUAGGAUUUUGAAUUCUUGACAAUAAUUUGGAAUGGAAUAGUGUAAUUUAUGGGAUCUUAAUUUGAUUUUUCAGUUUUUCUCCCCUUAAUAAGUGCAACAGAUUGAUACAUAAUGUAUCAACAAUAAUGUAUUCGGAUCCUUAAUUAUGUAUCCGCAAUUCCUAAGAAAUAUGGGAUUUAUGUAAUUACAAAAAUAAUAGGGAUAGAAGGUAAUUUCGAUUUUACACUAUGGUAUUUAUGUAAGUUAUACAAUGUUUUUUAUAGAAGUUAUGCAAAACUCAUUAUUUUUAAUACGUCAAACCAAAUAGUGUAUACGAAAUAAUGUCAGUAUAACUAAUACCAACAUUUUACUAAUGCAAUCAUGACUAAAUACUAAUACACCACAUUCUACAUUAUUUUUGUAUACUCUGACAAUCGACCCCUAAGUGGGUUAUUUUGAUAUUAAAUUCAUUCCAUGUUUCGUUGAAGCUGUUGACUUGUUGUCAUUACAACAAAAAGAUAUUUAGUGGCAAUAGAUUUUCUUUUUACCAACAAUUGAGUUAAUGUCAUUACAUUCCGAAUGGCUAAAGCCUCUAGCAACAUUUAUAUAGAGUGUUGAUUAUUAAUACACAUACUAUUUAUUUUAUUUAUGAAAAUUUCAAAAUAAUUCGCAAUCGCUACAACAUUUGUCCUUCGAGUGAGCACUCUAUAAUAAACUGUACUAGGCAAACCCUAUACGACAAGCUUGAAAUAAAAUUAUUCACACAAAAUAUAAUUCACAUAAAUAUAAUAUAACAGCAAUAAUCUAAAUAAUUCACACAAAAUCCUUUAUUUAUCAUAUAUAAGUACUGUCAUUUAAAAUCCCCAAAAAAUACAAACCAACUCAACAAUCAUUGUACUCACUUUUUUGCCUUGGCUUGCUCCUUUUGCUUUUCACUCAAUAUUGGAGUCUAAUUAUUUUUAAAUUUUGUCACGUAGAGCUUUAUUCAAAGCAAAAUCAUUUGUUAUCAAGAAUUUUUCUAAGCUCUCAAACUCAAGUCUUUUUUAUUAAGGGAGAACAAUCUCAUCCAUUGCACGAGCAUCCUUCGGUUCCUUUUGCUUUUUUGUGUGUGUACAAUACUUGAUUACAUGAUUACGUCAAUCGUUUUUCAUUCUCUGAUUAGUCAUACUCAUAUUAUAUAUAAGCCAAGCUGGAAUCCAAUCUUUAUAUAAGCUUAUUAAACAAAGACCAGAACAAAAGACAAACAAUCUUUUAUAACUUUCACUAUUGCUGCAACUUCCAAGAAUAAUAUCAUCUCCUCACUCCUAACAGCCUGUCUGUUACACACGGUUUACUUUUGUCUAUAAACUUGUAGCCAUCACCUCUUUUAUACAACAACAGAAUCUAACAGACAUUUCAAAUUAUCAAACUAGAAAUUAUAUUAAACACAUCGUCAGUUACCUAUUUGGAUAUUAUUAUUAUUUUAUCAAAAAUCAUGUGUGACAACAUCUUGCAAGUGCAAUUAACGCCUAUUUUAACGUCCCCCGCCAGGAAGAGAUGGCGUUGGGCGUUUAAAAUUCUCUAUACUUCCAGGGCAUUGCUGUCUACAGCCAGGAAGAUUGUUGCUGAAAAACAAACCAAAUGAAGACCACCACUAUUUAUAGUUGAGAGAGUCUUCCUAGCAAUGAAUAGGAAGAUAAUGGGUAGUAAAUAGUGAAGAUAAUGACCUUAGGAGUUACAUAGGUUACAAGGUAUAAUAGAGGAAUUAUGAGUGACAAUCAAGUAGGCACUAAUGCCAUCAACGCAAUUUUGCAUCUGUUGCAAAACUGAAGUGCCAUAUUGCACUAACUCCUAAUGGUGUAAUGCUCCAAAUAAAUGUCCAACGGUUAAGACAAAAGAAUUAUCCACCAACGGACAAUUUCACAGCAAAUGCCAUACUUUGACUCCAUACAUUUCAAGCAAAUUAAUAUACAAAAAUAUUAAUAUUAAAAUGCUGACCAACAAGGAUUAAUUAUUAUAGAAAAUAAAAGGUUUUGAAAACACUAUUUUUUUUAAAUACUUAUAAAACUAAGCAGUUUGGGCAGCUAUGUUAAACAUGCUCUAAGUGUCUCGUGGAGAAAGAUGACAAAAACCAACUACAAUUACAAAGACAAGAGGCAACGUAACCCACAACUUGGAGGCUCAAUGGAGCCAACUGGUUCACAAUUUGAAUUGCUGAUUUGCUGUCACUGUGUAAUAUAACUGGGAGUUGCACAUUUACAUUCAACUCUUUACACAAACCAAUUAGCCAUAGAAUUUCUGAUACACCUGCUGCCAUGCUUCUGUACUCUGCUUCUGCUGAGCUCCUAGAUACAGUCGUUUGUUUCUUUGCCUUCCAAGAUAUCAAUGAUUCCCCAAGCUUCAUUACAUAGCCUGUAACAGACCUUCUUGAGAUAGGACAUGUGGCCCAAUCAGCAUCACAGAAACCUGUUAAUUCAGUAGACUGCUUUGAUACCAUGUUAGAAUUCAGAAACAUUGCAGUGACUUCCAUUAAUGGAGGAAAUCUAAAACUGCUAUUGGUUGUAAAUGGGUUUUUAAAAUCAAGUACAAGGCUUGUGGUGUUGUUGAAAGAUACAAGGCUCGGCUUGUGGCAAAAGGGUAUAACCAGAAGGAAGGUUUAGACUAUGUGGAGACCUUUUCACCUGUGGUCAAGAUGGUUACUGUCAGGGUGGUACUUGCUCUUGUUGCUGCUCAUAACUGGUCUCUUCAUCAGCUUGAUGUCUACAAUGCCUUCUUGCAAGGGGAUCUUCACGAAGAAGUAUAUAUGCAUGUUCCACAGGGAUUUUCCAGUCAGGGGGAGAAACAAGUCUGUAGACUGCAUAAAUCCCUGUAUGGACUAAAGCAAGCAUCAAGACAAUGGAACUUGAAGCUCACUGAAGCAUUGAUUAACUCAGGGUUCACUCAGAGUCAUUUUGACUAUUCUCUACUUCUUCUUGAAGAUCCCCUUGCAAGAAGGCAUUGUAGACAUCAAGCUGAUGUAGAGACCAAUUAUAAGCAGCAGCAAGAGCAAGUACCACCCUGACAGUAACCAUCUUGACCACAGGUGAAAAAGUCUCCACAUAGUCUAAACCUUCCUUCUGGUUAUACCCUUUUGCCACAAGCCUAGCCUUGUAUCUUUCAACAGCACCACAAGCCUUGUACUUGAUUUUAAAAACCCAUUUACAGCCAAUAGCAGUCUUGCCAGGAGGUAGAUCAACCAAGGACCAGGUCUCAUUAUCCUUCAAGGCCUGAAGUUCUUGAUCCAUGGCCAACACCCAGUCAGGAUCCAAAGAAGCUUCAGCAUAACAAGAUGGUUCUCGCAAGGCAGUCAUCUUAGACAAGAAAGACUGAUAUGGACCAGACAAGCAUGUAUGGGACAAGUGAGAAGACAUGGGAUAAAGACAUGCAUUUGAAACACCGCUGGAAGGAAUGGAUGUACAGACAUAAUCCUGCAUCCAAGAAGGUUGUGUCUUAGUCCUUGUUGAUCUUCUGGCUUCCAGAUUAUGUGGAUGAAUGGGACCAGCAUGAGGUGUUGGAGGAAGAGUCACCUCAGGAGAGGAAAUUAGACCAGAUGCAACAUUAUCAAGAGGCAAAGAAGCUGGGACAACGACAGCAGUAGGUGAUGUAUCAGUGUUAAUAACACCAUUUGGAAAUAUGUGAAGUUGACCAGACUUUUGCAGCUGAAAAGGAAAUAUAGAUUCUUGAAAAUGUACAUCCCUGCUAACAAAGAAGUGGUUAGUUAACAGACUGUAAAGUCUGUAGCCUUUCUGAGUAGCAGAGUAGCCCAUGAGAACUGCCCCAAUAGCUUUAGGACCAAAUUUGUCACCUCCAGGAACAACAGUAGCAAAACACAAGCAUCCAAUAGUUCUCAUGUGUUGGAGAGAUGGUGGUCUCCCAUAUAACAACUCAAAAGCUGAUUUACCAUUCAAGACAGAUAAAGGGAGUCUAUUUAUGACAUAUACAGCAUUUUGAACACAUUCACCCCAAAAUUUCAGAGGCAAAUGACCGUGGAGUCUGAUUGCCCUAGCUACUUCCAAACUGUGUUUGUGUUUCCUCUCAACCAAACCAUUCUGUUGCGGAGUGUAAACACAUGAGCUUUGAUGAAUGAUACCACAAGAGUUAAACAAUGCAUCACAAUCAGAAUUAAAAAAUUCUGAUCCAUUGUCACUUCGAAACACUUUAACAGUUGCUCCAAACUGAUGCUGAAUUAGAGGAAUAAAUUGUUUCAAAACAACAAUUACAUCACUUUUGAGUUUCAACAAAAAAAUCCAUGUCAUCCUAGUAUAGUCAUCGACUAGGGUAAGAAAGAACCUACUACCAUCAUGAUUACAAACCCUAUAAGGGCCCCAAACAUCAGCAUGUAUCAUUUCUAAAGGAGAAGUAAAUCUAGUAGUUUUAACAGGAAAAGAUAGUCUUCUCUGCCUGGCUAGUGGACAAAUGGUGCAUUCUUUGAUGUUGCUACUACUUGUGCUAAAAUUCAUAUUUGGAAUUUUCAUCAGGACUUUGUCAGGAGCAUGUCCCAAUCUGUUGUGCCAUGUUUUUAAGUCUGUAUUUGUACCAAUUGGUCUUGAGUCUACAGUUGCAGUUGCUGCCAUUGCCUGCUGGUAGUCUUUCACUUGCAAUUGCAUCCUGUAUAAGCCAUCACACAUCUUACCAAUCCCCUUCACUUUCCCACUGUGAAGGUCCUGCAUAAUGCAUAGGUUAGGAUAAAAAGUGACAAAACACUUCAGAUCCUUUGUCAGUUUUGAAACUGAUAGCAGGUUGUAUUGGAAGUUUGGUAUGCAUAAGACAUCAGUAAGUUCUGCUCCACCUCCCAAGGAGCAUGAACCAAUACAUGCAAUUUCAAGGGCAUUACCAUCUGGUAAAUAAACCUUACUGGAAGGUAUGUUGUCUGCUAUUGUAGUCUCAUUAAGCAUAUGUUUAUCAUGUAUCAUGUGAUUAGUGGCCCCUGAGUCAACUAUCCAUUUAUCAUAAGCAAUUUCAUGUGUUGCUAGAAACGAAUAAAGUAUACCUGCUACAUGUUUCUCAGAUGUAGUACAGUCUUUGUUGAUCAGCUUCAGUAAUUGAUCAUACUGAUCUUGAGUGAACAUGAUACCAUUGUUGCGACUUGCAUCAGUGUCAUUCAGCUGGUUGUUCGAGCAGGUGUGUUCCUUCUCACGAGCAUAGAGAGCAUGUUGUAUUUGUGGAUCCCCCUGUGCAACUAUGUUAGCAGUUGGCCUGUACCUUGUGGGAUGGUUUCCUCCUUCAUUUGUUCCUGCUGGUCGGUUUCCUCCUCCAUUUGUUCCUGCUGGUCGGUUUCCUCCUCCAUUUGUUCCUGCUGGUCGGUUUCCUCCUCCAUUUGUUCCUGCUGGUCGGUUUCCUCCUCCAUUUGUUCCUGCUGGUCGGUUUCCUCCUCCAUUUGUUCCUGCUGGUCGGUUUCCUCCUCCAUUUGUUCCUGCUGGUCGGUUUCCUCCUCCAUUUGUUCCUGCUGGUCGGUUUCCUCCUCCAUUUGUUCCUGCUGGUCGGUUUCCUCCUCCAUUUGUUCCUGCUGGUCUUCUCUUCCCUUGUGAAUCAGGAGGAUAACCAUGUAGCUUCCAGCAUUUGUCCACUGAGUGCCCUCUCAUAUGGCAGAAUUCACAAUACAAAUCAUUAGUCCUCCUUGGUUUGAAGUUGUUGUCUGCAUCCCUAAAAUUGUUUCCUGGAUUUCGAUGAUUGCCAGUCACUCGAUUAUUGAAUAAUGCUAUCCCAUCCAUGGAUUCCCCCAUAUGAACUGAUUUGCCUAGAGAUCUUCGACUCUCUUCAGAGAUCACCAUCGAGUAUGCCUUGUUCAAGCUAGGAGUGGGAGUCAUCAUCAUGAUCUGACUUCGACAUUGGCUGUAGGACUCAUUCAACCCCAUUAAGAACUGUAACAAACGUUGAUACUCAAAAUGUUCAACAUAUUUCUUUGAUUCAGCACAUUCACAACCAGGACAUGGCAUGAGGGCAUCGAAUUCUUCCCAAAGCACCUUCAUCUUCGAGAAGUAACUCGAUAUAGAGGAAGUACCUUGAGUGAGAUGAUUAAUUUCUGUGUGUAGAUGAAACACCCUAGAUCCGUCAACCUUAUCUAGUCGUUCCUUCAAAUCAGUCCAAACUUGUGUGCGCUAGAGGCAUACAUGAUUCCACUCAAUAAUUCUUGCUAACAGCAUUCAUUAUCCAUGACAGCACUAUUGCAUUACAUUUUCCCAAAGUUCAUGCAAUGAUGUAUCGAACUUAUCCUUAGUGUGUCUUCCAUCUACAAAACCUAAUUUGCUCUUUCCUACCAGUCCAAUUCUCAUCGAUCUACUCCAAAUUGCACAAUUUUCUGGACCUGUUAGGAGAAAUGAGAUUAGAUUGUUACCUGGAGUAUCACACGCCUGCAGGCACAGAGGAUGGGGAUGAUCAAUCACUGUAGGAGUUGUGGUGGCUUCAUUAUCAAUUGCCAUUGUUGUUCGCCGAGUGCUCUGAAUCGUAGAUCCACUUCUUAGUUACAAAAAAAACUAGUGUGGUUUGUGACUUGAAUUCAGAAGUCCAGAAACUCUCCUCAAAGCUCUGAUACCAUGUUAGAAUUCAGAAACAUUGCAGUGACUUCCAUUAAUGGAGGAAAUCUGAAACUGCUAUUAAGCUUGAAUGAACAUAGGCAGAAUUCUGGGAGAAUACAGAAUUGGGAAAUUUUCUCUGAUUAAAACCAAUACUGAAAAUUUGAUCAUCUACACACUUAUAUACACGUUUUAACUUGUAACUAACUAAGCUAGCUAAUAUCUUUCUAACAAACUAUUAACUAACAGCCUUAACAAUAAUCAGUUAACUAAUCACGUGAUGGUGCCAUGUCACAUACGUAUUAACCUUUCUCAUCCUCAAUAAAAACAAGACUGAGCUCUUGAGCAACUUUUCGCGCUCUCAAUCUUAUACAGUAGUUGAUAUCGAACCAGAAUGUUUUUCGAGUAUCAACAAGCAAAUGUUAGCAAAACUCGUUCGAGUGAGAGAUGUUAAACAGUUUGAUGGUGUGGAAAGCGUGUUGUUUGUCCUGAAAACUGAUGCUGACAAGGGUAUCUUAGGUGAUGAUAAGGAUAUUGCUUCUCGGCGCAAACAUUUUGGGACUAACACAUUUAAGAAGCCAUCAGUAAAUCUAUUGCAAAUAUUAUUGAAGAGCCUCAAAGAUCCUAACAUCAUCAUUGUACUGCUGUAUGCUGUUUUAUCACUCGGUUUUGGCGUUAAAAAACAUGGGGUGAAAGGAUGUUUGGAUGGGGGAAUUAUACUAAUUUCCCUGUUUCUUGCCAUUAGUCUCUCUGCUUUUUGUAAUCAUAUCAUUUAUUAUUAUAAGUGGGAGGCUCAAUUUUCAAAGUUGAAUUACUCUUUUACCCUUUUACUAAAUAAAAAUAUUUAAUUAAUAAAAAUAUCUAAUCUAAUUAGUAGCAAUAUUUAAAUUGUUACACAAUUACUAAUGUAAUAAAUAAAAUAUCUACUCUAAUUAAAUAGGAGUAAUAUUUUAAUUAUCACACAAUUACAGCAGCCUAUAUUCAAUGUCUUGGAAUUGCUAGCUUUUUCAUCUUCCUAAAAUUGUCCUCUAUUCAAUAUUUUGGUUUCGUUUCAACUUCCUUAACUUAUUUUUCAAUUUUUUAUACCAAUUUAAUGUCUUGGUAUUCUACUUUAACAUGCAUUGAAUCAAAUCAAAAUGACCCUUUUGAAUUUACGCAAUAAGCCUCUUCGUUGCUAAAUAAAUAGAAGAAUUGGAAGAGUUGCAUUGAGUAAUUAAAUGUAGACUAAUUAUUAACUAGGAAUAAUAAAUAUAUGAAUAAAAAAGUUCAAGGAAUGCGCAUCAGAAAAGAUCUAUAAAAAGGCCAAAUUAUAUGAAUAAUUAAAUUUAAAUUAUUACAAAAUGUUUUGUUGGUUCGUUUUGCCACUAUUUCAUGAAUAUAUAGUACAUUUAAGUCACCUUCUUAGGGGAUAUUUUGUACCCCUAUCUACACACUACUUUUUCAGAAUAUUUUUAUACUAUCAAUCAAAUAAUACAUUUACCUUUUAAUAAUAAAUCAAUAAAUUGUGAAACAUUAAUGUGAAGUUCAUGAAUCUGUCUAGCCCUUAGUGUAGUUUAUCUUUUACUAUAUAAUUAUAUGCACUUAUCCCAUUAAUUUUAAAUUUGUUAUUUCUUUUAAUUUUCAUCCAUUAGAAAACUUUUCAUGUACUCUAUUAAGUUUUAUAUAAUACACAUAACAUUUUUGGAAAAAGUAUAGGAUGCAGUUACAAUUGAUUUGCACAGUAAUUUAGGUAACUGUAUUGUUAUUCAAAUUAUAGCAUAUAAUUGAAAGCUAGAGAUUCUUCUAGCCGAUUGCAGAUUUGAGGCAGCAAUAAGUGAAGCAGUUCUUGUCAAAGAACCAUUUCGUGGUAGUUUACCUCCCAGGUGAUGUUGAUUAAUUAGUUAAAAUUGUUGCGUCUUUAUGUUGUUAAUCUUUAAUUUGUGUUACACUUUAAUAUGUAAUUGCAUGGAUUACUAUAGAAAAAAAGUGUUAUAUAUGAGAUUAUAUACUUUAGAGGUUUAAUCCAAAAUUUGAAGUUAUUUGUCUAAUACGGUGUUGUAAUGCAUGAAACACAUUGAUUUUAAUAGCUUGUCAUGUUGCAUAUGAUAUUAUAUAGUAUAUACAAUUUUACUAAUUAUUUAUGUUAAAUUCAAAGAUGAAAUGACUUAGAAGUUUAAAUCAGACAAAAGGUAAUCUUCCCUUUCAAAAUUCAUAUAACUCAUUGCACAUUUAAUCUAAUAUUUUUUUUAAAAAAAAUUACUUAGCGUGAAAUACACGUGCGUUGCACGUGUUCGAGAACUAGUAUUGGCAUAAACAGCAACUUUAUGAACUUUGUAGGCCAAUUGAAACUGUUUCCAUUCUUGUGAUUAGGGAUGGGAAGGAUACGUGUAUCGCAUCAUCUGAAGCAGUUGUUGGAGAUGUCAUUCGCUUGAAAGCUGGAGAUCAAGUCCCUGCUGAUGGGAUAUACAUAGGUGGCCAAUCCUUACAUAUUGAUGAAUCAACUUUAACAAAGAAAAAUGACCUUGUGGAAGUUAACAAUAGCACCAAUGUGUUCUUGUUAUCGGGUAGCAAUGUCUUGAGGGGUAAUGGUCGAAUGCUUGUUACAGCAGUUGGCAUGGAUACAGCAUUGGCAGAAAUCAUAAGUCCAGCUUGUGUCAAUCAUGAUCAUAAAUCACUUUUACAGAAGAAACUACACAAACUGACCUCGCAUAUAGCAAAGGUUGGUUUGGCAGUCAGUUUCUUGGUUCUUUUAGUACUGUUGGUCCGUUACUUCACAGGGAAUAUGCGAAACAAUGGGAGGAAGUUGUUCAUUGGAGGUAAGACAAGUAUACAUGAUGUAUGGAAAGCCUUUCUUGGGAUUCUAGCAACUCCAGUUGCAAUUGCAUCGGGUGCUAUUCCUGAAGGUUUAACGUUAGCUUGUGCACUAACCAUAGCUUACUCAACCAAGAAGAUGAUUGUUGAUCAAGCACUUGUUAGAAGUCUUUCAGCUUGUGAAGCAAUGGCCUCCGCUACUGUGAUUUGUACGAAUAAGGAAGGAGUACUGACUGAAAACACUCUGCAGGUCAGAGAGUUUUGUCUAUGUGAAGAGUAUUUUGGAAGAGGUACUUUCUCUUCAUUUGCCCCAGAAAUUCUUGAUCUGCUUCAUGAAGGAAUGGCUCUGAACACAACCAAGAUCCCACCGGGAUCUUCAUUUGAACACAUUGAGGAUCAAAUUCAAAAUGCAAUUUUGGGCUGGGGCAUCAAAAGUAUGAAUAUGGAUGUACAACAACUGAAAGAAAGAUGUACACUUGUCCAUGCUGAAAGCUUCAACUCGGAAUACCAAGGGCGUGUUUUGAUAAGGAGGAAUGCUGACAGCAGAGUACAUGUGCACCACAAAGGAACUCCAGAGGCAAUACUGGCCAUGUGUUCACGUUACUACGAGGAGACAGGGGAUGUCAAAGAUAUAAACGAUGAUACUAGAGAAGCAUUGCAGGGAAGAAUUACAAAGAUGAAAAUGGAUGGUUUGUACUGUGUUGGUUUUGCAUAUAAAAGUGUAACAGCAGAACAUCAGAUUGAUCAUGAAGGGCAUUUCCAUCCCAAGCUCAAAGAAGAUGAUUCGAUCUUAUUAGCAUUUGUCGGUCUGAAAGCUCCAUGUAGAGAACAAGCAAGGAAAGCUGUGAUGGACUGCCAAGAUGCUGGAGUGAACAUCAAAAUCAUUACAAAAGAUGAUAUCCACACCGCUCGUGCAUCAGCUAUUGAUUGUGGUAUAAUUGAUCCUCAUGACACAUCCACUGGAGAAGUCAUUGAAGGAACAACAUUCCAAGGAUAUGCUGAAGAUGAAAGAUUGGAGAAAGUUGAUAACAUUCGUGUGAUCGCAAGAGCCUCAACGCUGGACAAGCUUCUAAUGGUACGAUGCUUGCAAAAGAAAGGUCAUAAUGUUGCAGUUACCGGAGACAGAGUGGAAGAUGCAGAAGCUCUUAGAGAAGCCAAUGUGGGGCUUUCAUUGGGUAAUCAUGGAACCGAUGCAGCAAGGAACUGCUCGGAUAUUGUCAUCAUGGAUGAUAACUUUGCUUCCAUAGCUAGGGUUCUAAGUUGGGGCCGAACCACAUACAACAAUGUUCAGAUAUUCACCCAGUACCAACUAACAGCAACUAUCGCUUCUUUGGUGAUAGACUUUGUGACAGCAAUUUCAGCUAGCGAGCCCGUGACCAUCAACAUUGUCACAGUAAUUUCAGCAGGCAAUGUUCCCUAUGCAAUGCUUCAGGUACUUUGGGUAAAGCUGAUGGUGGGGACAUUAGCAGCUGUAGCUCUCACUAUCGACGGGCCUGGAACAAAGCUCAUGCAGCAGCCACCACCUGACAAAAAUGAGCCAUUUAUAACCAAUAUCAUGUGGAAAAAUAUAUUGGGACAAGCAUUGUACCUGAUCUCAGUGUUGCUUACCAUCCAAUUCACAGGUGAAUCAGGAUACCAAUUAAGCGACAAGGAAAAGGACACAAUGAUCUUCAACAUCUUUGUUCUCUGUCAACUAUUCAACAUAUUCUACCUGAGAAACUACGAAGGGGGUAUCCUCAGAGAGCUAAAAACAAAGCGGUUAUUUUGGGGGAUUGUAGGAAUGAUAGUAGUUAUCCAGUUUGCAAUGAUCGAAAUGCUGAAAGAGUUUGCAUGUACUGAGAGAUUGAAUUGGAUGAAGUGGAAAGUGUGUAUUGGGAUAGCUGCUUUAUCAUGGCCAGUUAGUUUGCUCAUAAAAUGUAUACCUGUUCCAAAGACACCUUUGUUUAGUCGUAGGAACAGCCAGAACUCUAGUUACUCAAGAUUUAGAUCAAGUGUUUGGUUAUAGCAAGUUUGCCUUCUCAAUUCCUACCAUAUUUGUUUGUUCAUUCUAUAACACUUCCAUUUGUUUGUACUUUUAUAACAUUUAUUGUUUUAAAUUUAAUAUGUUAUACAUAAUUAUACUAAAGGAAAAAUAAAGUAAUACUUUUAUUUGGUACAAAAAAAAAUCAUUAAAACUUUGUAAGAAUUAAGUGAGUUGAGUUACGACACACAUUUUAGCCCAUUGCAAAUGCCAGUCUAAAGCUUCAAAAAUCUUUGAACAUAUUAUCAGCUCAGGUAUAUAUGUUGACAAUCAUGAACAAAGUACACUAUUAUUAAUAAUGGAAUGUAACAUAAAUCAAUUAAUCAAACAGAUACUAUUAGAACUAACUAGCUUAUGACAAAAACAUACUGAACACCUAAAUCUACUCAUUUAAACAAGGCUUUCAAGUAAUUCAACCUUAGAUAACUAAAUAUUGGUCUCUCUGGAACAGUUAUGCACUUGACAAGCCAACCAAUUGGCCAAGAUGCAGCUGCAAAUCCAAUGCAGAUACCCCAUUGCCCCCAAUUCAGCCUCUCUGUAUUUGCAAACUUCUUCAGAAACUCCACCAUCACCACUUGGAGAACCAAUGUUAUUCCGAUGAUCGCCAUGAACAACUUGUUCUUGUGUAUUCCCUUAAAGACAUUCUUCUUCUCCAGGUUUCGCGCGUUGAAUUCAUUGAACACUUGGCAAAGAACAAACGUGUUGAAAAUCAAUGUAUCGUUUACCUUCUUGUUGACACCGAAGAUUGACUCUCCUUUGAAUUGUAAUGUCAAUAAAACGGCAAUCUGAUAUAAGGCCUGAGCCAUUAGAUUCCUCCACAUAACAUUGGUGAUAAGUGGUGCAGUCCAACCAACUGGUUUCUUCUUCAUGAGUUCCUUGGUUGGCUUCUCUGUCGCGAGUGCUAAUGCCCCUAAUGUGUCCAUGAACAAAUUUACCCAUAGCAAUUGUACUGCUGUGAGUGGAACCUCACCAGAUGAAAUAGCUGCUACAAAAUUGAUCACGAGCACAGCCACAUUUACUGUGAGCUGAAAUUGGAUGAAUUUCUGGAUGUUGUUAUAGACACACCUUCCCCAUUUCAAAACUGUGGCAACUGAAGCAAAGUUAUCAUCCAAGAUGACAAUAUCAGAACUCUCUUUAGCCACUUCAGUGCCAUGAAUCCCCAUAGAAAGUCCUAUAUCUGCUUCCUUUAAAGCUGGGGCAUCGUUCAUUCCAUCACCUGUGACCGCGACCACAUGACCUUUCUUUCUCAAGCACUGCACCAUUAGAAGUUUGUCAAAAGGGGAUGAUCUUGCCAUCACGCAUAUCUUCUCCACUCUCUCCAUCCGUACUUCAUCUGUUAGGUUGCGAAAUUCUUCACCUUCUAUGACCUGCUCCUUCAUCUACUUCCGGAUUAGGAUGGAGAAUCCCACAUUCUGUUGCUAUGGCUUUUGCAGUGAACACAUUGUCACCAGUAAUCAUCUUGAUGUUCACACCAGCAUUUUGGCAAGCUUCCACAGCUUUCUUCACGCCAGGUCGACAUGGAUCUUUUAGGCCAACAAUGCCCAAAAGAAUGAUAGAGUUGUCUGGAACAUUUCCAUGAAUAUGCUCAUGAUCCUCCUGCUCAGCUUUUAUCACUUGCUUGUGAGCAAAUGCGAUACAUCGAAGGCUACUGGCAGCCAUUCCUUCAAUUAUCCUAUCACAUUCUUCCUUGUCUGAUUGGUCGAGAGGUUUUACAUUCCCUUCUAGAUCAUAGUAGUGGGAGCACAUUCUUGAAAUCAUUUCAGCUGCACCUUUCCAAUGUGCAUGAAUUGUGCCAUCUGUAAUGUUCUUGAUCAGGACACCGCUCUCCUUUUUCUCUGAAUUGAAAGCUUCCAUAUGUAGAAUGUUGAAAUUUCUUUUCAUUUGAUCCAUAUCCAUGUUCAGUUCCGUAACAGCCCACAAAAGAAUAGCUUUUUCAGUAGGGCUGCCUGAGAACUCGAAGCUGGAACAUGAAUCAGUGGACUUGAAAACACUACCUGUAGUGUUUAAUCCAACACCUUGAUGUAAUAAUUCAAGAACUUUGACUGAAAUUGUUGUAUGACUUUCCGCUUUCACGUGCUGUUUGCCUAAGAAAAACUUUGUCACGGUCAUCUUAUUUAAUGUAAGAGUACCUGUUUUGUCUGUACAGAUGGUGGUGGCAGAGGCCAUAGUCUCACAUGCGGAGAGCUUCAUCACCAUUGCCUGAUCAGCCAUCAUUCUCUUCAUGGAAUAAGCCAGAGUAAGUGUAGCAGCUAAAGGCAAGCCUUCAGGAAUCGCGACAACAACAAUGGUAACAGCGGCAGCAACAAUUCCCACCACAGCAUUGAUCACAUCAUCGGAUGAUGUCUUGCUCCCGUUGAAUUCUUUUUUACCAUUCUCAUCUUUUGUGGUGCCAGUAAAGUAUCUAACCAAUAGGACAACAAGAACUAAGAAAGCAACUAGCAACCCAACUUUACCAAUCGAUGUAGUAAGCUUGUUGAGUCGUUCUUGGAGAGGGGUUUGCUCAUUAGAAUUACUGCUGAUUUGGCUCAUCAUUUCACCCCAGGUGGUGUUCAUUCCAACCGAUAUCACAAGCAUCAUGCCAUAGCCAUCGACAACCUUCGUGCCAGAAAUCAAGAAUGGAUUUUGGCUGAUAUUAAUCUCGACAUGAUCACUUUCACCUGUCAUGCUAGAUUCAUCCACUUGUAAAGAAUGGCCUUCUACCAAAAUCCCAUCAGCAGGGACUUGAUCUCCAAUCUUCAAGCAAAUGACAUCUCCAACAACAAUUUCAAAUAUCGAUAUCUGUUGGCGCCUCCCCUUUCUAACAGCUUCCACUGGAAUAUUCUUGCUCACUUUGGAAAGCUUAUCAAACUGUCUGUUUUGUCUAAAAUUACUAAUAGACGAAACAGCGCUGACAAGAAACACAGCGACAUAAAUACUCCCUCCAUCGUACCAUCCUUCUUUCAGUCCAUGCUCCUUAAUUCCAAAUCCAAGAGACAGAGCAGCACAGAGCAAAAGUAUAAUGAUGGUAGGAUCCUUGAAUGAUUCCCAAACAAACACGAAGAAACUCUUAGUAGGUGCCUUACGAUACGUGUUGCUUCCAAAAGCCUCAUGUCUACGUGCAACGUCUUCUGAAUCUCCGCUUACACCAUUAGUUGUAUCACUUUUGAGAGAAGCAGCAACACCUUGUACACCUCCAAUGUUAGCAAGUUCGUCAAAGUUUUUAUCUUUGACAAGCUUCGCUAGACUUGACUGAUCAACACCUUGUACACCUCCAGUUGUGAUUUUGUUCAUGAAUAGGUAAUGCAAGUUUUCUUCAAACAUGUUUGAUUGAAAAUGUGUGUAAUAACAAUGAUGAACAAUAAAAGGAUAAAAAUAUCAAUACUUUGUGAUUGUGUUUUUGAGUGAAGUAGUAAUAAUCCCCCGGAAGUUAAUCAUAUUAUAUAAGUACUAAUACACCGCGUAAUCAAGUUGAUGAAGUUUAGUGGGGUGCAGUCACAUGGAUAUUUCCCUAAACCGCCUUUGGGUCUCCUUUGAAAAAUGCAUAAUCUAUGGAGGGUCCUCCCCUAUUUUCUUGCGGCCCACGAUCUAAUUAAGUUGGGCUUCUUGUACAAGUGACCAAAUUGUUUAAUAAAGAGAAAAUUUUAGAAAUAACAAAUAUAAUAAGACCCGAUACAUCAAGUUUUCGUCAUAUGCGAAAUUCGGAGAAGGACUAGACUAUUAAGACAUAAAUGCCUUACGUAUAGGCUAAGUUAUUAUAAAUUAAUUAGUAUAUAUAUUUUAACUUAACUGUUAAGUAUACAUAUCAUUAUGUAGCUAGGUUUCUUUUCGUUUACAAUUUGGUCAUGUCGACAAUAUGGUCCAUGUGUGAAGUAUUUAAGUAUUUGUUUCACAAAAUAUAAUUAAUGCCAUUACCUAGUUUUGAUAUAUGUUAAUUUCAUCGACAAUGUUUAGGAGCACUUUAUAAAUCAAGAAAAAAAAUAGAAAUAAGAUGCAAUUGAUAAUUAUAUCAUGUCUUCCUAUAAUAAAUUAAGUAUAAUAAGGUAGCACAAGAAAAUCAAACAAAAUUUAGGAAUGAGAAAGGGUUCCAAAAAGAAAAUACUUAGACUUUGCAUAUAUCCACUCUCUUAAAAUCUUAGUUGUAAAAUCACGAUCGUUCAAGAAAAAAAACUAAGAAGAGACAAAUGCCUUAUUUGUUUGUAUAUUUAAAAUAAAGAUUUGAACCUUAAUUAUUCAAGUUUCAGUUAUUAAGUUUGUCUAUUUUAUUUUUUUUAAUAUUAAUUAUUCAAAUCUUAAUAUUCAAGUGUUUCUUUUUCUGUGUUUUGCAAUCACAAUUAGAGUUUUAUAGAGAAACUAAAUAGGCUAAAAAUAUUGGAGCUCGAGUACUCCAACAAGGUAGAAACUAGGGUUGCAUAUUUUUCCAAUUUUCCAUUUUCGGUUAUGAUUCGUAGACAUGCUAAAUUAUUUUAGAAUCAUUAAGAUAUUGCUUGUCGAUUAUUGGUGAUUGAUCGUUACUGAUUUGGUUAUCAGUUUAACAGUUACCAUUUGACACACAAUAAUAAUAAUUGAAAAUCAUUCAGAGUUGACAGAUUGCAUCUUGUUCAAAAGUAAACACCGACACUUUAUAGGAUAAUCGAAAGUUUGAGACAAUAAAAAAUAAAAGUAUGCAACUAAACUCUGAGUCAAGUAUUUAUAUAUAUAUACAUAUAAAUAUAAUUAUAAGUUAACUAGUCUAUACUACCUUAAAAGCAUGAACUCCUAAGCUGAAUGUUGAAUUACUAUAAUACCCCCAAUUAAAAAUACUCAAUUUAUUUUAUUUAUUAAUUUAAUUAUUUAUAUUAUAUUAAAAGUAGAUACCCUUUCAUAUUAAAGGGUUGUGAUUUUCUCAAAGAGAUGUGACUUUUCCAAAGGGUUGCGACUUUUUUGACGGGUCUUGACAUUUUUGAUGAGUUGUGAUUUUUUCGAAGGGUUGUGAUAUUUUCAAAGGGUUGUGGCUUUUCCGAUGAGUUGUGACUUUUGCAAAAGGUUGUGAUUUUUCCGAUGAGCAGUGAUUUUUUCAAAAGGUUGUAACUUUUUUGAUAAGGAACAAUUAGCACCUAUUCAUACUACUAUUUGUUAGCUAUAAAUAGAGGGUUUCCUCUCACUUUAAAACUACGAUUUUUUAAAAAGUUUUCUACUCUUCUUCUUCUUAAAAAAUCUCAGGUUAUUUGCAACAGUUGAUUAAGUUCAAAAUUCAACGAAAUUCGAGGUACCACAUAAGAAAGAGUUGGUGAACAAAUUGUAGCAAAUCAUUCAUAAAUUCACACUCGUAUUUUUUUCUUACGAUUUCCAUGAGUUAACAGUGACGAAAAAGUUGUGGGAAAGACAAUAAUAAUAAACAAAUAUGAAAAAAAAUCACAUGAUUUGGGUAAGAUAUUUCUUCUUUGGUUUUUUAUUUUUUAUUUUUUUACUCUCAAAAUGAAGCAGUUUCUUUCUGAUUUUACUAAAAUCAUGGGCAUCAACGCAGUCCAUUGAAUCAUUAGUUUGAUGUUAAAUCCACUAUUUCAAAUAUAAAUUUUCACUUUUACUUAAUAUGAUAAUAUAGACAUGGUAAUAAUUAAUUUUAAUAGAUAUGUAAGUAAAAUUGAACAAAGAAAGUAAAGUGUUAGUGACAAGAGAUUUUAAUCAAAUGGAACNNNNNNNNNNNNNNNNNNNNNNNNNNNNNNNNNNNNNNNNNNNNNNNNNNNNNNNNNNNNNNNNNNNNNNNNNNNNNNNNNNNNNNNNNNNNNNNNNNNNNNNNNNNNNNNNNNNNNNNNNNNNNNNNNNNNNNNNNNNNNNNNNNNNNNNNNNNNNNNNNNNNNNNNNNNNNNNNNNNNNNNNNNNNNNNNNNNNNNNNNNNNNNNNNNNNNNNNNNNNNNNNNNNNNNNNNNNNNNNNNNNNNNNNNNNNNNNNNNNNNNNNNNNNNNNNNNNNNNNNNNNNNNNNNNNNNNNNNNNNNNNNNNNNNNNNNNNNNNNNNNNNNNNNNNNNNNNNNNNNNNNNNNNNNNNNNNNNNNNNNNNNNNNNNNNNNNNNNNNNNNNNNNNNNNNNNNNNNNNNNNNNNNNNNNNNNNNNNNNNNNNNNNNNNNNNNNNNNNNNNNNNNNNNNNNNNNNNNNNNNNNNNNNNNNNNNNNNNNNNNNNNNNNNNNNNNNNNNNNNNNNNNNNNNNNNNNNNNAUAUAUAUAUAUAUAUAUAUAUAUCUAAAACAAAGAAUUGGUCAAGCUAAGUAAUUGACAUCCACUCAAACCACUACCUACUUUAGGUAUAUAAGUUAUGGGCCCUAGGGCUGAUUAAAUUUAUUCUAAGACAUUUUUGCUAAAGUAAUCAAUCAUAUGUGCUACUCUUUUCUACGAAUGAAAGCGACACCAUUAUCUUUUUAUUUUUGUACAUUUAAUAACAUCAUAUUAUAGUAAUACAAAAUAAUGUCAUGAUAUAUUUUAAAUUAUAAACUUUAAAAGUUUUUUUUUCCCCAUAAGAUUCUUAUUGAAUCAAACAACAAAAUUUGUACUUAAAUGGUGUACAUCAUUUGUGUUCAUAACCUCAAGAGGAAAGACUAUUGGUGACAUUUUUUGUAUUGAUAUUUAAAAAAAAAAAUUUGUUGGUUAGAUUUGUUUACAAAAUUGAGUGAAGCAAUAAUAAUACUACUAAAGAAAUGUCACUUUCUCCCCAUAUAUAAACUUUGAAAUGUAUUUUGAAAUGUUUCAAUAAUAUCUGGUCAUUUUGAUCUCAAAAUACAAGUAACUCUAUGGCAAUCAAUAUUAAUCAUUUGAAAGCACUUGUCCUAUGUUCUUUAAGUUAUAAUUAUUUACUAAAAAACAUUAAUUUAGUAAUAUUAAUUCUAUUUUACAAAAUCAUAUACUAUAUAUAUACGAUACACACGUGCAACGCACGUGCUGUGAAACUAGUUAAGAAAAAAGCACCAAAAUAUUAAAAACCGAUAACCCAUAGUAAAACUAAUCAAAACCAUUAUCGAAAUAAAUCAAUAAAUUCUGGUUAACAUUUCAAUUCAGAUACUAGAAACAAUGUCUUUGCAAUAUAUCAUAGUGGCGCGAAAAGUAAUUGGAAAGGAAGGCUCUAAUUCUGCUAUCAGUGUCACAUGAUUUCAUUCAUCUUUCAACUUUCCAAUCCCCAAAUUGAUGCGUGACUGAGUAGGUCAUAUUAGGAAGAGAGAUACAAAAUCACCGGUACCGGAAAGUACUUCUGACUGAAAAUUCUCAGGCAUUGCAUCGGCCAUCGGCCAUCGGCCAUCGGCGAUCAGUCUAUAUUGCAUAAACUGAAAGAGGUAACAAACUGACAUCUCUUCUCAUCCCUUGGGAUCCACAUUACACACAUUUUCCACUUCUGAACCCUGCUGUGAUCAACCUGAAAACAAGUUUUAUUGCAUUAUGAAUUCUAUGAUGAUUGACAAGGAUUGAAUUAGGAAAAUGGACUUUGUCUACGUAGAGAAUAGCAGAAGAAAAGUAUAAUUGGGGAAACGUUCGGCCAGUUCAAUAUCGUUAAGGAAGAUUUUGGAUAAGAGAAUGCCUAAUGUCAUCUCUAUUUUUACUUGUCUAGAUGCUUCUAGAAAUUAUUGUAGAUGUAAAAAUCUGGAUAACUUCAUCAUCUAGCUAUGAAUCUAGAACUUUUAGAUCUAGCUUUAAGAUUAGAUCAUUCUAGAAGCUUUCAUAAAAAAUCUAAGUUUUUUUUGUAGUUCCAAAAAAUUAACUUUAAUUUUUUCAGUUUAUUUGUUGAAUAUCUUUAGUCUUUACUACUGAGAGGUGGAGAAAUUUGGAUAUGCAAAGGGAGAAACUCUGGACUUGACACUUUUAGAUAUGUUCAACUAUUAAGGUGAUUCCAUUGCACUUUUAAGUUUUAAAAAAUGUGAGUUCAGAAUUUGAUAUUUUAGCAAUUUUUAACUGUAAAUCUAUGCUCUGUAACUGUAGUAGAAGAAUUCUGUACAACUCUUUAUUUAGAAACAUACCAUAGAGAAAUACAAGUAGUGAGUAAUAAAUGAAUGCAACAUAAAUCAACCAUUUCACAACAAACUAAUACAAUUACAACAAACUAGCUUAUGGACCAAAAAAAAAUGAACAUCUAUAUUUACUCAAUUUUAACCUGAGAUAACUGAAGAUUGGUCUCUCUGGGACAGCUAUGCACUUGACAAGCCAACCAAUUGGCCAAGAUGCAGCUGCAAAUCCAAUGCAGAUUCCCCAUUGCCCCCAAUUCAGCCUCUCUGUAAUUGCGAACUUCUUUAGGAACUCCACCAUCACCACUUGGAGAACCAAUGUUAUUCCGAUGAUUGCCAUGAACAACUUGUUCUUGUGUAUUCCCUUAAAGACAUUCUUCUUCUCCAGGUUUCGCGCGUUGAAUUCAUUGAACACUUGGCAAAGAACAAAUGUGUUGAAGAUCAAUGUAUCGUUUACCCUCUUGCUGACACCAAAGAUUGAUUCUCCUCUGAAUUGUAAGGUCAAUAAAACAGCAAUCUGAUACAAGGCCUGAGCCAUUAGAUUUCUCCACAUAAUGUUGGUGAUAAGCGGUGCAGUCCUACCGACUGGUUUCUUAUUCAUGAGUUCCUCGGUUGGCUUCUCUGUCGCAAGUGCUAA